This 391-nucleotide ribosomal RNA is filed under the name Acinetobacter schindleri. Its description in RNAcentral is "bacterial SSU rRNA". It matches the Rfam family "Bacterial small subunit ribosomal RNA", at positions 62 to 456 of the family's 1533-position model. The record is from RNAcentral. Lineage: Bacteria; Pseudomonadati; Pseudomonadota; Gammaproteobacteria; Moraxellales; Moraxellaceae.
UCGAGCGGGGAGGUUGCUUCGGUAACUGACCUAGCGGCGGACGGGUGAGUAAUGCUUAGGAAUCUGCCUAUUAGUGGGGGACAACAUUCCGAAAGGAAUGCUAAUACCGCAUACGCCCUACGGGGGAAAGCAGGGGAUCUUCGGACCUUGCGCUAAUAGAUGAGCCUAAGUCGGAUUAGCUAGUUGGUGGGGUAAAGGCCUACCAAGGCGACAAUCUGUAGCGGGUCUGAGAGGAUGAUCCGCCACACUGGGACUGACACACGGCCCACACUCCUACGGGAGGCAUCAGUGGGGAAUAUUGGACAAUGGGCGGAAGCCUGAUCCACCCGUGCCGCGUGUGUGAAGAAGGCCUUUUGGUUGUAAAGCACUUUAAGCGAGGAGGAGGCUCCUU